GAUGAACGCUGGCGGCGUGCCUAAUACAUGCCAGUCGAGCGAACGGACGAGAAGCUUGCUUCUCUGAUGUUAGCGGCGGACGGGUGAGUAACACGUGGAUAACCUACCUAUAAGACUGGGAUAACUUCGGGAAACCGGAGCUAAUACCGGAUAAUAUUUUGAACCGCAUGGUUCAAAAGUGAAAGACGGUCUUGCUGUCACUUAUAGAUGGAUCCGCGCUGCAUUAGCUAGUUGGUAAGGUAACGGCUUACCAAGGCAACGAUGCAUAGCCGACCUGAGAGGGUGAUCGGCCACACUGGAACUGAGACACGGUCCAGACUCCUACGGGAGGCAGCAGUAGGGAAUCUUCCGCAAUGGGCGAAAGCCUGACGGAGCAACGCCGCGUGAGUGAUGAAGGUCUUCGGAUCGUAAAACUCUGUUAUUAGGGAGGAACAUAUGUGUAAGUAACUGUGCACAUCUUGACGGUACCUAAUCAGAAAGCCACGGCUAACUACGU
Molecule: ribosomal RNA, 496 nt
Filed under: uncultured bacterium
Lineage: Bacteria
Description: partial 16S ribosomal RNA
Rfam family: Bacterial small subunit ribosomal RNA
Source: RNAcentral